This 76-nucleotide ribosomal RNA is filed under the name Eubacteriales bacterium OttesenSCG-928-K08. Lineage: Bacteria; Bacillati; Bacillota; Clostridia; Eubacteriales. The record is from RNAcentral.
UGCCGGUGGUUUGGCUAAGGGGAUCCACCUGUUCUCAUCCCGAACACAGAAGUUAAGCCCUUAUACGCCGACAGUA